UUUCCUUCCUUUUGCCCCAUCCCUGCAGAGAGAAGCACAAGGAGCCCCAGCCACUCCGGAAGUGCCCAAGUCUCUGUUCCACCACUGCCUUCCACCCAGAGAGCUCCUUGAUGCUAGUGCAAGCAGAUGGCGACCAGAGCUCAUCCGCACAGAGAGUGACGUCCAAGGAGCUCCUGCUGCCGGAUAUGCCCUCCUUUCAGUU
Molecule: non-coding RNA, 202 nt
Organism: Leptonychotes weddellii (Weddell seal)
Lineage: Eukaryota; Metazoa; Chordata; Mammalia; Carnivora; Phocidae
Source: RefSeq, a predicted model, not a curated record